AGCGAAGGAACAUUAAAUUUGUUGCAGUUAAAAGCUCGUAGUUGAAUUUCUUGCUAACGUCUAGCUCUGCGAGGGUAAAACCUGGCUUUGUUGGUCGUAGCAAUGUUGCCUCGUUUGGUUAGCAAUAACUUUACGGAGGCUCUUUUACUGUGACUUAAGUGAAGCGUUCAUUGCAGGCUUUUGCUUGAACAACUAUUACGGAAUAAUAAUGUAGAAGUGUCUAGUUAUUGGUUUAUAGAUAUUUUAUGUUUAACAGGAACAGGUGGGGGUAGUUUGUACUUUGUCAGCUAGAGGUGAAAUUACUAUGAUUUGUCAAAUAGACAAACGAACAGCGAAAGACAUCUACCAAGAAAUGUUUUCUAUUAAUCAAGAACGAAAGUUUGGGGAGUCGAAGAUGAUCAGAUACCAU
RNAcentral lists this ribosomal RNA (409 nucleotides) under uncultured eukaryote. Its description in RNAcentral is "bacterial SSU rRNA". It matches the Rfam family "Eukaryotic small subunit ribosomal RNA", at positions 606 to 1018 of the family's 1831-position model. The record is from RNAcentral.